CGGCAACAGCUCAAAUUUGAAAUCUGCCCGCAAGGGCCGAGUUGUAAUUUGUAGAGGAAGCUUUGGGUGCGGUACCGACUGAGUCCCCUGGAACGGGGCGCCACAGAGGGUGAGAGCCCCGUAUAGUCGGACGCCAAACCUGUGUAAAGCUCCUUCGAC
RNAcentral lists this ribosomal RNA (159 nucleotides) under Chaetomium sp. RNAcentral describes it as "partial large subunit ribosomal RNA". It matches the Rfam family "Eukaryotic large subunit ribosomal RNA", at positions 99 to 261 of the family's 3401-position model. The record is from RNAcentral. Lineage: Eukaryota; Fungi; Ascomycota; Sordariomycetes; Sordariales; Chaetomiaceae.